Molecule: ribosomal RNA, 500 nt
Filed under: uncultured bacterium
Lineage: Bacteria
Description: partial 16S ribosomal RNA
Rfam family: Bacterial small subunit ribosomal RNA
Source: RNAcentral
AUUGAACGCUGGCGGAAUGCUUUACACAUGCAAGUCGAACGGCAGCACGGACUUCGGUCUGGUGGCGAGUGGCGAACGGAUGAGUAAUGUAUCGGAACGUGCCCAGUCGUGGGGGAUAACGUAGUGAAAAUUACGCUAAUACCGCAUACGAUCUAUGGAUGAAAGCGGGGGAUCGCAAGACUUCGCGCGAUUGGAGCGGCCGAUAUCAGAUUAGGUAGUUGGUGGGGUAAAGGCCCACCAAGCCAACGAUCUGUAGCUGGUCUGAGAGGACGACCAGCCACACUGGAACUGAGACACGGUCCAGACUCCUACGGGAGGCAGCAGUGGGGAAUUUUGGACAAUGGGCGAAAGCCUGAUCCAGCCAUUCCGCGUGCAGGAUGAAGGCCCUCGAGUUGUAAACUGCUUUUGUACAGAACGAAAAGGUUUCUACUAAUACUAGGAGCUCAUGACGGUACUGUAAGAAUAAGCACCGGCUAACUACGUGCCAGCCGCCGCAGUAA